CAUGGCUCAGGAUGAACGCUAGCGGCAGGCUUAACACAUGCAAGUCGAGGGGUAUUGGUUUCGGACCAAGAGACCGGCGCACGGGUGCGUAACGCGUAUGCAAUCACCUUUGCAGAGGGAUAGCCCAGAGAAAUUUGGAUUAAUACCUCAUAGUGUUAUUAGAUGGCAUCAUUUGAUAACUAAAGUUCCAACGGUAAAAGAUGGGCAUGCGUCCUAUUAGCUAGAUGGUAAGGUAACGGCUUACCAUGGCUACGAUAGGUAGGGGUCCUGAGAGGGAGAUCCCCCACACUGGUACUGAGACACGGACCAGACUCCUACGGGAGGCAGCAGUGAGGAAUAUUGGACAAUGGGCGCAAGCCUGAUCCAGCCAUGCCGCGUGCAGGAAGAAGCAUCUAUGGUGUGUAAACUGCUUUUGUACGGGAAGAAACACUCCUACGUGUAGGAGCUUGACGGUACCGUAAGAAUAAGGAUCGGCUAACUCCGUG
RNAcentral lists this ribosomal RNA (485 nucleotides) under uncultured bacterium. RNAcentral describes it as "bacterial SSU rRNA". It matches the Rfam family "Bacterial small subunit ribosomal RNA", at positions 18 to 507 of the family's 1533-position model. The record is from RNAcentral.